RNAcentral lists this ribosomal RNA (586 nucleotides) under Pediococcus sp. MB2C. Its description in RNAcentral is "bacterial SSU rRNA". It matches the Rfam family "Bacterial small subunit ribosomal RNA", at positions 662 to 1248 of the family's 1533-position model. The record is from RNAcentral. Lineage: Bacteria; Bacillati; Bacillota; Bacilli; Lactobacillales; Lactobacillaceae.
UGGAACUCCAUGUGUAGCGGUGAAAUGCGUAGAUAUAUGGAAGAACACCAGUGGCGAAGGCGGCUCUCUGGUCUGCAACUGACGCUGAGGCUCGAAAGCAUGGGUAGCGAACAGGAUUAGAUACCCUGGUAGUCCAUGCCGUAAACGAUGAAUGCUAAGUGUUGGAGGGUUUCCGCCCUUCAGUGCUGCAGCUAACGCAUUAAGCAUUCCGCCUGGGGAGUACGACCGCAAGGUUGAAACUCAAAAGAAUUGACGGGGGCCCGCACAAGCGGUGGAGCAUGUGGUUUAAUUCGAAGCUACGCGAAGAACCUUACCAGGUCUUGACAUCUUCUGCUAACCUAAGAGAUUAGGCGUUCCCUUCGGGGACGGAAUGACAGGUGGUGCAUGGUUGUCGUCAGCUCGUGUCGUGAGAUGUUGGGUUAAGUCCCGCAACGAGCGCAACCCUUAUUAUUAGUUGCCAGCAUUAAGUUGGGCACUCUAGUGAGACUGCCGGUGACAAACCGGAGGAAGGUGGGGACGACGUCAAAUCAUCAUGCCCCUUAUGACCUGGGCUACACACGUGCUACAAUGGACGGUACAACGAGUU